RNA transcript from Ipomoea triloba (trilobed morning glory), 3479 nucleotides. RefSeq lists it as uncharacterized. The record is from RefSeq and is a predicted model, not a curated record. The transcript has 13 exons. NCBI's taxonomy places the organism in Eukaryota, Viridiplantae, Streptophyta, Magnoliopsida, Solanales, Convolvulaceae.
CCAAAUUUGAUCUGUAGAUCUCACGUCGCAGCCACACCCCCACCUUAAAUCCAAACCCGUAGCCGCAACCACCAUUACCGUCGCAGCCACCACACCAGCUAGCGUCGCAAACUGAUCUGCUCGCACUAGGCCAAGCAUCGCCGCACCAUCCAUCGUCUUAGCCUCUGCAAUCGCGCGCCACCACUCCAGUUAACGUCUUUGCCUCAGCCAGCGUCGUCGCAGCCAGCGUCAUCGUGUUAGAUCCGGCUAUCUGCAGAUCCCAGUAAAUAACAUACGCAAUUUUGGAUACAAUGUACCCUUCAUUUCUCUUGGAGAUGGAGACGCAAUCUUGGAUACAAUACGGCAGUGAAGAUGAGAAAUCCAUUUUCACCUGCUAGUAUUCGAGAUGUGGCUGAGUCCCACCUGCCGUCAAUAACAAACGGCACCCUCAUAACAAACAAGAUUUCAAGUUAGAGUGCCAGACAUCUCCUGCUUUAAGCUUAGCAUUUUGUGAGCUCACCAGCCGACCAAUGGGGGCUCGAAAGACAAGAUACCUAAGUGCAGACGAACGCUUCGUAGCUCAUCAAUAUGUCUUACUAAAUUGUGAGGAGGUUCAACCUAUUUUAAGGAUGUACGAGAGAGGUUUACGUCAUUACAAUCCUAGUGUAACUAAUGAGCAAGUUGAUUGUGGAGUUGAAAGAAAUUUUGCAAAAUGGUUUAAAGAUUACGUGUACAAUCCAUUGAAUAAUGUGCAUACCCAAUGUCUGAUUGAUUUGGCAAAUGGCCCUUUAAUGGAAGUUAGCAUGUACAGUAGGUAUGUCGUUAACGGUUUCAAGUUUCAAACCGAAGCACAAUGUCUUAGAAAGUCAACUUCAAACUAUGGGGUAUCAAUUAAGGAAACAAGUUUGGCACAACUUGGAUCAUACUUUUUUUGGCACAUUACAAGAGGUUAUUGAGGUUGAGUACCCUAAUAUUCCGAUUAAAAAGGUUGUCUUAUUUAAGUGUGAGUGGUUUGACCCAACACCCACUACUGGGGUGCGAUUCAAUUCUGGAUAUGGUAUCAUUGAAGUGCAAUGCAAUAGACGGUAUAACAAGUUUGAUCCUUUUAUCAUUGCACAAAGUGUAUCUCAGGUGUGUUACAUUCCAUACCCAUAAGGUAUAAGGGAGAAAGUAAAUUGGUUGGUGGUAUUGAAUGUGCGUCCUAGAGGAACUAUUGACAAAGCUUAUAGUAAUAGUCAAAUUUAUCAGCAAGAUGACAUGCCUUUGCAAAGAUAUUGUGAAGUUUCAUCUCACGAAGAAGUGACAAACUUAGUGCAUGAACCGUUACAGAUUGAUGAAGUGUAAUUACCCCCAGUUAGACAAGAAGAUAGUGAAGGGUCUGAAGAAGAAUAUAAUGAAGGGUCUAAAGAAGAUAAUGAAUAUUUUGACGAAGAUAAUGAAUAUUUUGAGGAUGAGGAGGGGGGACAUUUUGAGGAUGAAUAAAUAAAUUAGUGUUAGUGUGUAAAAAAAUAAAUAAAGAAUAAAUUUUCAUAUAAAAGGUUGUGCGUCCUAGAUGACAUUGGACUCCAAUUUCUCUUGACGACAUUUCUCUUGUUGACAUUGGACCCCAACCUAUCGCACCUCAAGCUAAUGCUAAAACUACGGAGUUAGUGAUCUCCAUCCUCAACCGAUUUGUACACUAAUAGACUGAUCUCCAUCCUCAACCGAGUCAUCGCCAUCUUCAAGCUAAAGCUAUGGAGUCACGCAUCGACAUCCUCAACCAAAAGGUUUGCUGAAAACAACGACUAUAGAUCUACCCAGCUCAAGCUCCAAGUGAUAUUAGGAAGAGCAAUAGUUCGUUGAAAUGCCUCAAAAGAGCAGUAGUUCGUUGAAGUGCUCCAAGUGAAAUCAACGAUAGUGUAGAGAAAAUUUGAGUGUGUUUGGUACUGACUGCAAGACCACAGUAUAACCAGAUCCUUGUAAAGAAACCUGGUGGACCUAAUUGGUGGCCAUACUAGAACCAAAAGAUUUUUGGAGAGACAAUGGCAAAACAUGGAAAAACUUCAGUUGAUGCUAAGGCUCCUACUACAUCAAAACAUAUGAGAAGAAGAAAGAAGAUAUCUAAGGGAAGAAAAUCUGAAGCUCGAGGUAAAGGAAUUGCUCUUCCAGAAUCUGUAGAUCUGAUAUUGCAACCUCCAUUAGUGGCUAAUUUAGAAGAAGCUCAUAUGCAAAUAAGAAUGGUACCUACGCCACCGAACAUUGUGUGACGAGAGUUACAUGAUACUGAUUCAAAGCGUACAAUAUCAACUGGAGGCAUAAGUAAUAGUCAUAUGGCAGGACCAUCAACGAGCAGUUCUGGACAAAGCAGCCACAAUAAGACCUUUAUUCAUCCUAUUGGCAAUACAGCAUUCGAACCUUGUAGUGUGCACACAAAUAUUAUGCAUUGCAUUAAGAGGAUAUUCCCCGAGGCAGUUAAAACUUUUAAAACUGCUCCUCAACAUCUUAAGGAUGUUUGGUUUAAUGAAUUCAAGAAACGGCAUGAAUGGGAUCCUAAUGACGAGGAUACUGUUUGAAUGAUAUUUGAGAAAAAGGCUGCUAGAUUGCUUACUGAUGCGUUAUGUGAGGUGCGCACAAAUUUGGCAUCAGGAGAUGGAGUACCAGGAUGGAUAUCUGAUCCUGUAUUGGCCCAAUACCAGCUCAUACGGAACAACAACAAAUUCAAGAAGAUAAGUGAGAAGAAUAAGCGCAAUAGGAAUUCAGAUUGUGGAGGAAUAGGUCCAUCAUUGCACAGUGCAGGUUCUAUCCUAUCACUGAACAUAGAAGAAGAUUGAAAGAAAAGCUUGGAAGGGAACCUACUCAUACAGAAGUAUUCAAUGCCACGCGCAAACUUAAACGGGGAGGAAGAUAUGUAUGCCAAAAAGCACAGCAAGAAACUGUGACCAACUUGAAGCAAACACAACCUCAAGUGGCAGAAUCAGCAAUGUGGUUGGAGGCCACUGGUGGUGUGAGGAAACGGAGGUACGUUUUAGGAUUUGGGUCGGAUACCGCACACUACUUCCCCGACGCUAUGAUACACAGGAAAUCCAAUAUUGAAUCAUCAACUUCAAUUCACAUUCAUCUUGUGAAGAUCGAAUUAAGCAAUUAGAGGAGCAAAAUCAAGUGAUGCAACAGCAGCAACAAGAUAUGCAUGAGGAAAAUCGGAGGAUCCGUGAUAUCGUCCAGAAACUAGAAGAAACACUUGCCCACUUUAGUGCAAAUCUUGAUAGUCUUGAUCAAGAUCCAAACAAAAAUAGCUCCAAUGACGAUAGACUACCCCCCUCCACCUCCGAUGAUGAUACACUAGCCCCCUCUAGUCAAGAUUAGAUAGCAUAUUAUUUGAAUGAUUUGAAAAUCUGUUUUGGAUGGUGAACAUAGCUGCAAACAAUAGCUAUAUUUUUGAUAGUGAAGCAACUACUACACUUUGGAUUUAAAUGAUUGACUAAUGUUUGAUUCUCUUCAAUUGUUAAUACUGUGGUGUUGAA